This 129-nucleotide ribosomal RNA is filed under the name Triticum aestivum (bread wheat). RNAcentral's name for it is "partial small subunit ribosomal RNA". Lineage: Eukaryota; Viridiplantae; Streptophyta; Magnoliopsida; Poales; Poaceae. The record is from RNAcentral.
AUGAGUUAUGGUCAACAAACAAUACGUGCUACAAGGUACAUAGGUCAAAGUUUCAUAACUACCUUAUCCCACACAAAUCAUUUACCUAUAACGAUUCAUUACCCUUAUGAAAAAUCGGACCUGUUCUGA